Molecule: ribosomal RNA, 468 nt
Filed under: uncultured Pseudomonadota bacterium
Lineage: Bacteria; Pseudomonadati; Pseudomonadota
Description: bacterial SSU rRNA
Rfam family: Bacterial small subunit ribosomal RNA
Source: RNAcentral
AGAGUUUGAUCAUGGCUCAGAGCGAACGCUGGCGGCAGGCCUAACACAUGCAAGUCGAGCGCCCCGCAAGGGGAGCGGCAGACGGGAGAGUAACACGUGGGAACGUACCCUUUGGUUCGGAACAACCCAGGGAAACUUGGGCUAAUACCGGAUAAGCCCUUACGGGGAAAGAUUCAUCGCCGAAGGAUCGGCCCGCGUCUGAUUAGCUAGUUGGUGGGGUAACGGCCCACCAAGGCGACGAUCAGUAGCUGGUCUGAGAGGAUGAUCAGCCUCACUGGGACUGAGACACGGCCCAGACUCCUACGGGAGGCAGCAGUGGGGAAUAUUGGACAAUGGGCGCAAGCCUGAUCCAGCCAUGCCGCGUGGGUGAUGAAGGCCCUAGGGUUGUAAAGCCCUUUCGGCGGGGAAGAUAAUGACGGUACCCCGCAGAAGAAGCCCCCGGCUAACUUCGUGCCAGCAGCCGCGGUA